This 591-nucleotide long non-coding RNA is filed under the name Phoenix dactylifera (date palm). Its description in RNAcentral is "long non-coding RNA (PDAC_LNC020816)". Lineage: Eukaryota; Viridiplantae; Streptophyta; Magnoliopsida; Arecales; Arecaceae. The record is from RNAcentral.
UAGGAUAAGUGCUGACUAUGAUUAUGUUAUUUACUGCUACUUGUGAUAGUACAAUGCCCUGUUGUUUAGGUUGUUAAUAGUUGUUUCCUGUUUGUUUCUAAUUGAUAUACCAUGAUGCAUUAGUUUCUAUGUUGCAUUUGAAGUUUUUGACGUCUAAUGGAAUAAGUAAAGAAAAUCAUGAGUUGGAAGAUUAUAGGAUUAUAAUAUGCAAUGUAGAAAUUUGCAGUUACAUGAUUUAAAGUAUUUUAAUACUCUCUCUUUUCUUUUCUUUUUUUUGCGAAGUUGGUAAAUCGACCAAUUUCAUCGAGAGGAUGAAGAAUUAAAGACAAAAGGGAAUAGAUAUAGAAGGAAAACAGAAAAAAGAAAAAGGCAUUCAACCUCAGAAUUUCCACAAGCAACCAGCAUGAUCUCUAAACGAAGGGAUCUUAUAAAUUUUCAUUGAAGGAAACACCUUUUUUUUUAUGAAUUGUCCACAAGCAACCAGCAUGAUCUCUAAACGAAGGGAUCUUAUAAAUUUUCAUUGAAGGAAACACCUUUUUUUUUAUGAAUUGUAACUUGCAAUUUCAAAGAUAAUGUAAAGUCACGAAAUAU